Molecule: long non-coding RNA, 2971 nt
Organism: Acinonyx jubatus (cheetah)
Lineage: Eukaryota; Metazoa; Chordata; Mammalia; Carnivora; Felidae
Exons: 2
Source: RefSeq, a predicted model, not a curated record
AGUGAGAGCAGAGCAAGGCAAGGAACCAUGAGAACAGCCUUCCUGCCCCCGCUGCCCAUGCAUUUCAGCUACUGACAUCAACAGAGCACUUGGAAGUGCUUCACCUACAACUGGAAUUCUGUUUUGAGAUGACGGUUUCAGUCACAGGGAAACAAGGGUCUCUAAUUGAUUAAAAAUGCUGUUUUAUUCACAAAGAGCCAUUUCAAACAAAUGUUCAGAAAUACAUCCACUACCAAAAUAUGGAGGGCUGCAUUUGCCUUAGAUUCCCAUCUACUGGGGCCACUUAUUCUUUGCAUCAGGGGCACAGCCCCACCCCUGCAGAGCAGGCCCCGUCACUUUCCCCUAUGAAUUUAGCGAGCAGUACACAUUUAGACUUUCAGUAUUAUUAGUUUAGCUUUCCAUCCCUAACUACAAAAAGUAAUGCCAUCAGGCUGUGCUAAGUGGGUCAGCUUUGGUGGAUGUGGGAUUUCUCUUCGUUCUUUUCUGUUUAUAUUAAUUUAACCUUGGUUGGGGUAUUGCGAAGGCUCAGGCUUACUUUUGGCUUCAUUUCAGAUCUUACUUAGUAACUUAAACUUUGAUGGAUGUUUUUAAGUUUUAUUUUUGAGACUCAUGAGCUUAGAGGGGCUCUGACUAGUCCUCUAAUCUGGGUCCUUUUGCCAGACUGUGGUAGUCCAUUCUGUUUUAUUUAUUUAUUCUUAAAUGUAUUUUUAAAGUUUAUUUAUUUUGAGACAGAGAGAGAGAGAGAGAGAGAGAGAGCGUGAGAGGGGGAGGGGCAGAGAGAGAGAGAGAGAGAGAGAGAAUCCCAGGUAGGAUUCGCACUGUCAGUGCAGAGCCCGACUCAGGGCUCGAACUCACAAAACUGUGAGAUCAUGACCUGAGCUGAACUCAAGAGUUGGAUGCGUAACUGACUGACCCACCCGAUGGCCCUGGUAGUCCAUUCUUUUUUUUUUUUUUUAAUGUUUAUUUAAUUUUGAGAGAAAGAUAGAGGCAGAGCAUGAGCAGGGGAGGGGCAGAGAGAGAGGGAGAUGCAGAAUCCAAAGCAGGCUCCAGGCUCUGAGCCAUCAGGACAGAGCCCGACGUGGGGCUUGAACUCAUGAACCGUGAGAUCAUGACCUGAGCCGAAAUAAAAAGGAAACUACAGUUCAGUUGGUCCUCCAUAGCCUCAUUCCCUUGGAAGAUACAAAUCGAAAUACAAAUGACAUUUUAUGAUUCAGAUUAUGAGUAGUAUUUAGAAGGAUUUAAAUAUUUUGGAAGAAUGUGCUUUCCGUUGACAAACGUUCCCUGAGAAACCCCUAGCUAUAAAGGCAGGUUUGAAGCCAGUUCAAAGAUGGAGUAGAUCCUGCCUUGGAGGGUCAUUGGGUGGGGUGGGUUGUGUACAAAGAAUUAUAAUCCAAGGCCAAGUGUGAUACUGGCUGUAGGCAUCUCCAUCAGAGGUACAGAGGUAGUUCUUGAAAACAUCCAGAGUGGUUUCCAUAGCGCUGAAUCUCGUGGCUUCUUGUUCCCUGUGGACUCCUCUCUGUCACGUUUGCUCUGGUUUGGACCGGAGCCGGAGAGUGGCAGAGCCUAUCGUCACUGCAACGUGAGGGUCGGCCCUUGUCUUUGCAAUAACUGUCCUCAUCUUUUGCCCCGAGGCACACAUUUCCCAGACGGAUGGAGUGCUGAAAAGAAAGAGUGAUUCAGACAGCCUAAAUGAAGACCAAUAUUUGCGAUUGGAUCACAGACAGGCACGUUCAAGCAACUGACGCGAGACGUGGGAUAUGCGCUCACACGGAGUGCUCUUCCCGUGCUUUCCAGCCCUCGCCACCAAGCCCCGAUACAUGGAUCCUGUCUGAUUGCCUUGUGAAUUUUGUCAUAGCUUCAUAUAGUGGGAAUGAGUGUGGACCCUGCUUGGGAGGAAGAAGCGAGAGCUGAGUGUAUGCAGGCAAAGUAGGAACCACACUGCACACACAUGCCACAUUGUGGGUACAACAGCCCCACAUUUCCUCCUUCUUUUUUUCAACUUGAUUAUUUAAAGUUUAUUUAUUUAUUUUUGAGAGAGGUGGGCGUGGGGCUAGGGACAGAGGGAGAUUGGGAACCCACAGCGGUGCAGAGCCCAACGUGGGACUUCAUCCCAUGAGCCAUGAGAUCACGAUCUGAGCUGAAAUCAAGAGUUGGAUGCUUAACCAACUGAGUCACCCAGACGCCCCAUGCUUCAUUCUUUUAAGUAUCAGGGACAGCUUGUCACACAGAUUCACCUAAGCCACAGCAUCAAUUUAGGCUUGUGACUCAGGAACCCCAUAAACACACGUAUUGUUGACAGUCAUCAGGCGUGUCCCAAAAGAAGUAUUGUUUUGUCAGGGCGGCCCUAACAAAAUACCAUACAUGGGGUGGCUUAACCGCCAGGAAUUUACUUUCUCACAGUUCUGGAGGCGGGAAGUCCAAGUUCCGUGGCUCAAGGCCCGAGAUGAAGCCGGCAGUGGGUUUGGUCUGCAGCCUGUCUCCUCAGCUGCAAGAUGGCUGCCUUCUUGCUCUGUCAUCGCACGGUCUUCUUUCUGCGCACGUCUGUGUCCUAAUUUUCUCGUCUUCCAAGAACACCAGUCAUAUUUGUUUAGAACCCACCUUAAGGACCUUCUUUGGACUUAAUCACCUCUUUAAAGAGCCCAUUUCCAAACAUAGUCACAUUCUGAGAUGUUGGGAGUGAGGGCUUCGACAUACAGAUUUUGGGGGGGAUGCAAUUCAGCCCAUAACAAAAGAAUAACAAAACACACAGAAGUCUAAUGCUUUGUCCUUCAUUUACGUGGUUUUGUUAGUGACCUUUGUUUACUAUAAUAUGGACUUUGCUUUUUUUUUUUUUUCUGCCAAUAGCCAUUACAGAUUUACCCUUACUUUCUUUUCUAUAUCAGAUUGUCAGCUAACUAACAAAGGAAUUGCAUCUUGGUGUCCCUCCCAGGACCCAGCACGAUGUUUGACAAAUAAAAGUUCAAGAACGGUC